AACUCUCAACGCCCUGUUUCCGCCCAGUUUCGGAGAAACAGAGCGGAUUCUGCUUAUACGGGCCGCGGAGAGAGAAGCAGCUGCUGCGAGCUGUUAGUGCGGGUGUGAGAGAGAUUGCUUCUACAUGACUGAGAGUUUGCGGGGGAGUCAUGUGUAACUGUGACUCCGACAAGCGGCGUGUAAUGGAGGGAAUGUGUUUGGUUGCGAGGGAGGCUGUGGGCGUGUGUGUCUGUGUAAGAGUCUAUGCGUAUGUUUGAGACUGUGAGAAUGUGUUGGGGGCGGGGGCAGUGUGACGGACACAGUGAGGAAAAGGGCACCGGAGUAUUUGUCUGGUGUAAGGAAAGAAGAGACGUGUGAAGGAGAUAUGCGAGUGUGAAGAAUACGUGUGUGUGUGUGACUAAGACUAAGGGGGUGUGUGUGUGAGAGAGAGAGGAAAUAAAGUGAGAGAAUGUGGCUUUCCGAAACUCGGAGCGCUUGCCUGCUGGAGGAUGGAUCCGGCAGUAUCAGGGUAUUUCGAUCUGUAUGUAAUUACCAGAAUUACUGAGACGGUGGUUUGCACAACUCUGUGUGUGUGUGUGUGUGUGUGUGUGUGAGAGAGAGAGAGAGAGACUUGCUGUUUGGGGAGUUGGCGGGGAAGGGUGAGCUGGGGAUUCACUGCAGGGCAGUGUGUGUCAUUCUGCAGAUAAGGUGGAAACAUCGAGGUUAGCAAUUGAACAUAAAAUUGCUCGUCGGGGGCAAUAACCAGAGGAGAGAACAAACCCCCGAACUCCACUCCUCCUGGUGCAGACCACCCGCUAACCUGGAGGAUGUAGUGUGUAUGUGAACGUGAGUGUGAUUCUCACCACGUAGUUCAGGAACGCAGUGAACAGCAGGCAGGAGCCGAGUGAAGCGGACGCUUGAAAGUUUUAUCUCGCCCUCGCUGUUUCUCUCUCUCUCUCUCCCGGGAUUCCGCCCUAUGCUCUAAUUAAGACUAGGAAUUCCCCCCCUCUAUGUUCCGGUUAAAAAAUACCCAGCCGGAAUGAAGCAGGUCGGCGUUCCGCGGUGUCUGCGGAUUGUGAAUGGCGGAGGUUGUUUGGGGGGGAGGGGGGGAGUGUAUGUUGGAGGGUUUGGUCUUGGGGUUGUGAGCUAAAGGUUGAUGUUUAUGGUAAUUGAAGUUAACGACUGGCCUUAUGGGUAGAGAUUUUUUCCAGGCUCGGAGGGGAGCUGCACGCUAAGGGCUGGAUCGGAAAUUUAAAAAAAUCCGUUCGCUCUGUGCAGACGCUCAAGCACAUCUGCUCCAGCGAUCUGCCAGAAGGCUUCUUCUCUGUAAACACCGCCACUACCACCACCACCACUAACCCACCCCCUCCCUCCCCACUCCCUCUUCUUCCAGCAGGCAGCAGCCUGAGGUUUUCCACAAGGCAGGGGAUGUGGGGCGAGCAGAGUCUGAGAGAGAGAGCCCACAGACUGGAUGGUUCCGCCGCUCUCUAUGUGGUGAGGAACCAACAUGGCGCUGCGGAGUCUUGCCGUGCCUGAGACUCGCAGCCGCCCGCCACCUGUACACUGAGAGCCGCUGCUACAAACCGAGGGGGAAAAGCCGGCAACGCUGGGAGGGCGGGGGGCAGGCCUGCCCUGCUCGCACCUUUUACUGUGAACCGGCGGCGGAUUGCUCUCGCUCUGUGUGUGUGUGUGUGUGUGUGUGGUGGAUAUCCGGACUUUUUGGGGGCGAUCUGUGAGCACACGUCUGAUCCGCUCAGAUGAAAGAAGUCUCUCUCUGGCUUGGCUAUUAAAAAAAACCUGAAAAGGCACGUGGAUGCAUUAAAGACGAGGUCAGCACCAGAACAAGAGGCUGGUGAAAUUCUGCCGAGAGCCUGCAAUCAGGAAGAUUGGCUCCUCGUUCUUUCCACGUUAGCUCGGCUCUCGGUGUAUAUGUGCGCGUCUCGCCUGAAUGUUGAGGGCAAGUUUCGAGACUCGGACUAUUCGAGCACGAUCCUGCUGCUCCCGUGCUUAACAACUUCGAGGGUCUGGUGCAGGAUCUGAUCCAAUCGGCCUUUUUUGAAACCACACCGAUCAUUCAUCUGGAGCGGCUUGGCCCUGACUUGGGAACGUCACUUUUUGUUGAGAAGAUUUACAAAGUGCUGUAGACAUUGCCCGCACAGUAACUGCGGCUUUUCGCAUCGCAUUUCGCUCAGUCUCCGGAUCGUACGAGAGAACGCGGAGCCAGUUCCACCCCGAAGGCUAAUCGCGGAAAGCCAAACCUAGAAACCACCCCACACCAACUCCUCUCCCAACCCGGCGAGGCCGAGGAUUGAUUCACAGAAUUCCGGUCCGAGUUUAUCCAAAUGCUUUUAAUUAAUUUAUCUACGUUGUAAAAAUCAGCACAGGUACAAUGAAUCAGGACGGAAUCGUUUAUUUUUAAAAAUCAUCGUGUCCCUUAUACGGCACAGCAACUGAGUAGAUGAAAGCGUUUUAUUAAAGGGAGUUAACUGAUCGUUUAAAGGCGGCGGGGGGAAUUAGUUCCCAGUGUGUAUAUAUUGCAAAUAACUACAGCCUACCAAGUUAUUCCGAGCUAGUGAGUUGAACCUUAUGGGUCACACUGACGGAUGAUUUAUUUUUGAACUGUGCCUUUGAGAUUAUUGCGAGAGCAGCUUUUAACUAACGUGUGUCUUUUACUGCUUGAAGUGUGCAUCGUCCGCCUAAUAUGUUACUAGUCACUUCAGACUGUAAGAAUGUGCCUUUCAGCUGAGGUUUAAUGGUGAAGGUUGUUCUAGUUCUAGCUGGUUACCUGCAAGGUGACAAGUACCCGUGUGGCAGCUACCAGCUUUGCCUGACUGAAGGCUUCUGACCGUAUUUCUAUGUCUCUGUCUAAGUGAUCGAUUGGUCUAGACAGCAGUGGCCGGCUCCCUGCACGCUCAGGGAGGAGAGAAUGAUCAUCGCAGAGAGAGAGAGGAAAAAAUUGAGGGCAAGUAAACCAGAGCCUGGUUUAGGUUUUGAUGGGCAGGCCCAGCCCUCAACCCUGUGAACAGAGACUGAAAGUUGUUGGCGGAGAAUUUCAUGAUACGGAUAUAGCGCGGGAGGUGUUAGCAUGCAUGACCAUCUCGUGUGCGCGUCUCACAAUCUCAGCGUGACACAACAUAAGACGUGUAUUCUGGAACUGUAAGCGCGUACGCACAUACGAUGUAUUUUUUAAAAUAUCCAUUUAUACAAUUACUGAGCGCCUCCUGGAGUAGAUGCACCUUCGUUCAGCAAAUUAACUUUUCUUUGAACUAUUUAAAACGCUGCAUGAAUGCAGAGUUUCCUCUACUGAGAAGAGUUGGUUGAGGUGGAAGUGGCAACAGUAGUGACGGCCUAUUCCCUUUUGUCUGUUUCGCUGACUUGUGUGAGCACGGUCUGCGCAUCUGUCGGAAGGUCCAGUUUAAGUAAAACGAUCGUGGAUUGCGAGCUGGCGCGCCGAUUUCCCUUGCUAAUAUAUCGAUUCUACGCGUUUCCGUUAUUUGGAAAUGUGUUGCUGUUCCCAGCUUCGUAAGUAUUAUUUGUUUAGUGGCGCUGUGAAACUCCCUGUUGAAGUACGUAAGGUUCCUUGCUCAAUGGCGACUGACCCGCUGACCACUCGCCUUCCGCGUCUGUUUAGAUGUAAUGUAAACAAAUACCUUGAAACUACCGAUGUCCCAACUAGACAUCUACGGUUUCUCUACGCCUCGAAAUCAUGUUCUCAUAUCUCGAUUUCCAUUUCACCCUAACUUUUUAAAAUAUUAAUAAAUGAUAUAUUUUGAUUUGAUGAAAUAUUCCAUUUUCAUUAGUCCCUCAUCAUUAGAAUUUGCUGCCUAGUUAAAAAAAAAACUGCGACCCCCUGUAAACCAAACAAAAACUGAAUAAUCGCAGAAGUAGAUUGCCCUUCGGUCAGAGCGCCAGAAUAUGAGGAGGGGACACACUGCGUGGAUCUGAACCGGGCUAACUCCAUGGUAAAUUCUAGACUGAACGAUCUUCUCUUGGCGUGACAGGCAGGUCACAAAUUCCCAAUGAAACAGAAUCCUUAUUUUUGGGGGCUGUUUCAAACGUUGGACGCCAAAAAAAACCCAGUCGAUUUUCAUGAGAACAUUACACGCACCUACGAUUCGUUGAUUUAAAUACCCUAUGAAAGUAUUGGGACAACUUCAAGAGCAACCGGCCACAGUCCACAAUCCGAUCUACCCUAUCAGUGGCAAAGUUGGAUAGUAAAUACGAUUAAAUAUCGACAUGGUAUCUAUACUAAACUUGGUCAUGACGUUUGUGGGCCAAGCAAACUGUUAUUUUUGUAAAUAUGUUAGAAAUUGUCUUUAUUCUCCAAAACUACAAAACUCCGCUUUGCAGCCCUCUAGGUAUAAUCGCUAAAGACCACGCCGUACCAUUCUUUGGAACUAUUGGUACUUUUUUGAUUUUAUUUCCCGGGAUGUAGGCGUUGCAGGCUAAGCCAGCAUUUAUUGCCCAUCCUAAUUUAUCUGGAGGUGGUAGUGAGCCGUCUUCUUGAACUACUGUGGUCAUUAUGUAGGUACAGCCAUAGUGCUGCUGGGAGGGAAGGUCGAAGACUGUAUAUGUAAAUUGACCACAUUAACCUUCACGCAAACCAAAUGUAGUGUACAAAAAACGGUAGUAAACCUGGCUUUUCCACUAAGGCCAGUAUUUAGGUGUAAUUAUAUAUAUUUUAGUUAGACUGUAGGAAGCACCAAAAAUACAUUAUUAUUACUGUAGAACCUCUGAACCAGCUGAAGAAAUAGAUCUGCGUUUGUUGUAUAAUUCACAUUGAAAUGCUGCAGUGUUUUAAGUUCUUUUUUUUAUUUCCACUUGUAAUCGCUGCAUAUGAUUUUCUGUCACCUUUGUAACGAGCAAACAAUUUCAGUCAGAAUCCGAGAUUUUGCAGUUUAUGGCAUCAUCUGUUGCAUCUGGUAGCUACAUCUGGAAGCAAUAUAAUACCCAAGAGUUGGAUUUUUACCACCUAUUAUUGCCCCCAGAUGGUUGAGCUCACCUCGUCAGAUAAUCUAGCCAGUCGCACAUUCACCCUUUUACACUUAUUUGUGAAUCGAGGCAAAAAAUCCAACGUAUUGUAAGUAAAUGCACGUUUGUGUGUUUUAGCAUUCAAAUGCAAGGUUUAGUAUCCGUUGCUCCGGAUUUGUGAUUCCUUUCACGCACAGCAGUUUAUUUGAUAUAUUUAUACCUGGUUGAUGAAUGACGUAGUUCGAGAUUUCUCAUCGACUUUAGAAUUCCUGUGAAUAUUUGGAAUACCAAAUUAAACCACCAUUUUACUGUCCGUGUACUCGAGCAAUUAAUCUAAAUUAAAAGUAUAAUUGUAUCGGAUAAUUU
This is a long non-coding RNA of Rhincodon typus (whale shark), 5316 nucleotides long. RefSeq lists it as uncharacterized. The record is from RefSeq and is a predicted model, not a curated record. The transcript is spliced from 3 exons. NCBI's taxonomy places the organism in Eukaryota, Metazoa, Chordata, Chondrichthyes, Orectolobiformes, Rhincodontidae.